Molecule: ribosomal RNA, 433 nt
Filed under: uncultured bacterium
Lineage: Bacteria
Description: partial 16S ribosomal RNA
Rfam family: Bacterial small subunit ribosomal RNA
Source: RNAcentral
AACGAACGCUGGCGGCAUGCCUAACACAUGCAAGUCGAACGAGACCUUCGGGUCUAGUGGCGCACGGGCGCGUAACGCGUGGGAACCUGCCCUUAGGUUCGGAAUAACUCCCCGAAAGGGGUGCUAAUACCGGAUAAUGUCUUCGGACCAAAGAUUUAUCGCCUUUGGAUGGGCCCGCGUUGGAUUAGCUAGUUGGUAGGGUAAAAGCCUACCAAGGCGACGAUCCAUAGCUGGUCUGAGAGGGUGAUCAGCCACACUGGGACUGAGACACGGCCCAGACUCCUACGGGAGGCAGCAGUGGGGAAUAUUGGACAAUGGGCGAAAGCCUGAUCCAGCAAUGCCGCGUGAGUGAUGAAGGCCUUAGGGUUGUAAAGCUCUUUUACCCGGGAUGAUAAUGACAGUACCGGGAGAAUAAGCGCCGGCUAACUCCGUG